RNAcentral lists this long non-coding RNA (430 nucleotides) under Nicotiana benthamiana. RNAcentral's name for it is "long non-coding RNA (NBEN_LNC041404)". The record is from RNAcentral. Lineage: Eukaryota; Viridiplantae; Streptophyta; Magnoliopsida; Solanales; Solanaceae.
GAUACAACCCUUCGAAAUUAAACUCAAGUUAAUAUUAUACAUUCAUUUUAUAAGAAACAAACGUAUAAUAUUGAUCUGGGUUCACUCAACUCGUAAAAAUCUUUGAAUAGCCCAGUACGCAUGAACCCUAGAUUUGAAAUUUGAGCCUGACCAGUGAUACUUGGGGGAUUUUGGUGAAGAAGUUAUAAUGAGGGUUAUUAGGAGACUGUGUGGUAUGAAUUUGGGACCGUUCGGGCAAGGUUAUGUUUUGGACUGACUAUUCAAACUAAGAUUCGAGAAACCAGGGUUCGAUUCAAGGGAAAUUGGGGGCACCAUUUUAAAGAGGAGGGUGAGCAGAGCGAUUGGUGUUGUUUUGGUCCGAUUUUGAGGUAGUGCCGCCAGGUUUUAAGGGUGGUGGAUAUGGUGGCAGCGGAGAUUAGGAUUUUGAAAG